UCAUGCGAGGAGGAGUGCUAUCAAUAACGAGACAGAUCUCUUUGAGGCCUGUCAUCGGAAUGGGCACAACUUAAACCCUUUAACGAGGAUCUAUGAGAGGGCGUCCUGGGCCCAGCAGCCCGAAAUCCCAGCUCUCCGGUAAUAUCGCCAUCCCCCGAAAAGAGCUCAAGUUGGCCUAAGACGACACGCGGCCACCAGGGUAUAAUUCUGACUCUAACCUGUUUUGUCGGUUUCCUCUUGCCCCUUCACUGGCCGUCUUGAGAACUUUCAUUAAAUCCUGUAAUAAAAAGAGCGCUUGCGACAGGCCUUCAUCAUGGUAUAAUAGAAUAUGACUUCGGUCCAUUCCUUCGGUCCAUUCAUCGAAGCUUAGGACUAAAGGAACAACUCGGAGCAACCGAAUCGCUGCCCGAAUCGCUAAUUCUUGGACCGCAGUCUGACACCGUAUUGCGAAAAUUCUCCAAAAAUGUUUUCAUUAAACAAGAA
RNAcentral lists this ribosomal RNA (483 nucleotides) under Pristionchus lheritieri. RNAcentral describes it as "bacterial SSU rRNA". It matches the Rfam family "Eukaryotic small subunit ribosomal RNA", at positions 453 to 983 of the family's 1831-position model. The record is from RNAcentral. Lineage: Eukaryota; Metazoa; Nematoda; Chromadorea; Rhabditida; Neodiplogasteridae.